Molecule: ribosomal RNA, 555 nt
Filed under: Bifidobacterium breve
Lineage: Bacteria; Bacillati; Actinomycetota; Actinomycetes; Bifidobacteriales; Bifidobacteriaceae
Description: bacterial SSU rRNA
Rfam family: Bacterial small subunit ribosomal RNA
Source: RNAcentral
UCUCCUGGAAAAGGGUGGUAAUGCCGGAUGCUCCAGCACACUGCAUGGUGUGUUGGGAAAGCCUUUGCGGCAUGGGAUGGGGUCGCGUCCUAUCAGCUUGAUGGCGGGGUAACGGCCCACCAUGGCUUCGACGGGUAGCCGGCCUGAGAGGGCGACCGGCCACAUUGGGACUGAGAUACGGCCCAGACUCCUACGGGAGGCAGCAGUGGGGAAUAUUGCACAAUGGGCGCAAGCCUGAUGCAGCGACGCCGCGUGAGGGAUGGAGGCCUUCGGGUUGUAAACCUCUUUUGUUAGGGAGCAAGGCAUUUUGUGUUGAGUGUACCUUUCGAAUAAGCACCGGCUAACUACGUGCCAGCAGCCGCGGUAAUACGUAGGGUGCAAGCGUUAUCCGGAAUUAUUGGGCGUAAAGGGCUCGUAGGCGGUUCGUCGCGUCCGGUGUGAAAGUCCAUCGCUUAACGGUGGAUCCGCGCCGGGUACGGGCGGGCUUGAGUGCGGUAGGGGAGACUGGAAUUCCCGGUGUAACGGUGGAAUGUGUAGAUAUCGGGAAGAACACCA